ACGAACGCUGGCGGCAUGCCUAACACAUGCAAGUCGAACGAACUCUUCGGAGUUAGUGGCGCACGGGUGCGUAACGCGUGGGAAUCUGCCCUUGGGUACGGAAUAACUCAGAGAAAUUUGUGCUAAUACCGUAUAAUGACUUCGGUCCAAAGAUUUAUCGCCCAAGGAUGAGCCCGCGUAAGAUUAGCUAGUUGGUGGGGUAAAGGCCUACCAAGGCUACGAUCUUUAGCUGGUCUGAGAGGAUGAUCAGCCACACUGGGACUGAGACACGGCCGAGACUCCUACGGGAGGCAGGAGUGGGGAAUAUUGGACAAUGGGCGAAAGCCUGAUCCAGCAAUGCCGCGUGAGUGAUGAAGGCCUUAGGGUUGUAAAGCCCUUUCAGUGGGAAAGAUUGUGACGGUACCCACAGAAGAAGCUCCGGCUAACUCCGU
RNAcentral lists this ribosomal RNA (431 nucleotides) under uncultured bacterium. RNAcentral describes it as "bacterial SSU rRNA". It matches the Rfam family "Bacterial small subunit ribosomal RNA", at positions 29 to 506 of the family's 1533-position model. The record is from RNAcentral.